Molecule: ribosomal RNA, 467 nt
Filed under: uncultured bacterium
Lineage: Bacteria
Description: partial 16S ribosomal RNA
Rfam family: Bacterial small subunit ribosomal RNA
Source: RNAcentral
GAUGAACGCUGGCGGCGCGCCUAACACAUGCAAGUCGAACGAUUAAAGCACCUUCGGGUGUGUAUAAAGUGGCGAACGGCUGAGUAACACGUGGGCAACCUGCCCCUCUCAUUGGGAUAGCCACGGGAAACCGUGGAUAAUACCGAAUACUUCGGGACUUCCGCAUGGAAGACUCGAGAAAGCUCCGGCGGAGAGGGAUGGGCCCGCGGCCUGUUAGCUUGUUGGUGGGGUAAUGGCCUACCAAGGCAAUGAUGGGUAGCUGGGUUGAGAGACCGACCAGCCAGAUUGGGACUGAGACACGGCCCAGACUCCUACGGGAGGCAGCAGUGGGGAAUCUUGCACAAUGGGCGAAAGCCUGAUGCAGCGACGCCGCGUGCGGGAUGAAGGCCUUCGGGUUGUAAACCGCUUUCAGCAGGGGCGAGGCGAAAGUGACGGUACCUGCAGAAGAAGCCCCGGCUAACUACGUG